Molecule: ribosomal RNA, 428 nt
Filed under: uncultured Russulaceae
Lineage: Eukaryota; Fungi; Basidiomycota; Agaricomycetes; Russulales; Russulaceae
Description: eukaryotic LSU rRNA
Source: RNAcentral
AUAUGCUAGAAUUGCAUGAAUUCAGUCGAAUCAUCUAAUCUUUGAUAUCGCACCUUGCGCCUCUCUUGGUAUUCCAGUAGGGGCACACACCGUUUGAGUGUCUCUGAAAACCUCACAUCCUCCUUGGUGUUCUUUCUGGAGUACUGACACGGAGGCUCUGGACUCUGGAGGCACUUUGCUGGUGUCUCUCACCACCUCCUCUUAAAUGAAUUACCUGUGUGGUCCUCUUUGCCGAUCCUCGCACACGUGAUAAGAUGCUUCCGUGUCUCGGUUUCUGGCUCUGUUGCUUUUGGGACCCGCUUCUAACCGUCUGGACCUUGUGUCGAGACAAUGUUCGAGAUUGUCUCCCUUCUCGGGAAACCACCUCGACCCCACGAACCCUUGGCCUCAAAUCGGGUGAGACUACCCGCUGAACUUAAGCAUAUCAA